This 499-nucleotide ribosomal RNA is filed under the name Branchinecta sandiegonensis. RNAcentral's name for it is "partial large subunit ribosomal RNA". It matches the Rfam family "Bacterial large subunit ribosomal RNA", at positions 1838 to 2608 of the family's 2925-position model. Lineage: Eukaryota; Metazoa; Arthropoda; Branchiopoda; Anostraca; Branchinectidae. The record is from RNAcentral.
UGUAUAUAUGUAAGGUCUGGCCUGCCCACUGAUUAUUUGAAGGGCCGUGGUAUUUUAACCAUGCGAAGGUAGCAUAAUCAUUUGCCUUUUAAUUGAGGGCUGGAAUGAAGGGUCGUUCGAGGGAUUAACUGUCUCUAACCUUUAUUUGAAAUUAAUCUUUUAGUGAAAAAGCUAAACUAUACUUGAAGGACGAUAAGACCCUAUAGAUCUUUAUAGAAACAAAAUUAGAAAUUGGUUGUAAGUUCUUUUUACCCCUUCUAUUGAGUUGGGGCGACGCUAUAUGAAGAUAUAACAUUUAGUUUAUUUAAACACUUACAUGUGAUGACAAGAUCCUGGGAUGAGAAAAGGAGAUAGUUACCUUAGGGAUAACAGCGUAAUGGUUUUUGAAAGUUCAAAUUGACAAAACCGUUUACGACCUCGAUGUUGGUUCAGGGAUCCUAUUUAGCGCAGUAGCUUUAUAAGGAAGUCUGUUCGACUUUUAAAUCCCUACAUGAUCUGA